RNAcentral lists this long non-coding RNA (507 nucleotides) under Monodelphis domestica (gray short-tailed opossum). RNAcentral's name for it is "lncRNA (ENSMODG00000048755.1)". Lineage: Eukaryota; Metazoa; Chordata; Mammalia; Didelphimorphia; Didelphidae. The record is from RNAcentral.
CUACUGGUCAAAUUUAACAAACUGUGAGGGUGACUAGACACUUUCUAAUUCUUUUCUGGCAUCGGACUCAGAUGAGAAAACUGAAAUGCUGGGAGAGUUGAAGUUGCUUACUCAACAUUGUUAAUCCCUAGUGACUGGCAAAGCGGGAAUCCACAUGAUUGAGGAUUUCACCAAAAGCCACCAGAGAAUAUCUUGUUUCAGCAUUCAAGUUCUUCCACAAACCUGUCAUCAGUCAGAUAUCUCCAACCACCUCCCAACUGAGGAGAAGAUACCUCAAACCCCAAAGGGAGGCUGUGGACUCAAGUUGAAGAGAGACCAGCUCCCUUGCCCCUUCCUGCCUUCUUGUAUCUAUCUCUUUGUAAAUUCUUUAGGCCCCAGGGGCAGAAAACCCUGGGGUCAUGAAACCUCAUUUCCCAGGUGAGAGACCAUAUAAAAAGUAUUAGGGUAACCAAAUCCCAUUUUCCAUCAUCCAGUCUACCUGUACAUUCAUUCUUCAUUAAAUCUUAC